ACGCUCGACACCUACGGGAGCAGCAGUGAGGAAUAUUGGUCAAUGGGCGCUAGCCUGAACCAGCCAAGUAGCGUGAAGGAUGAAGGCUCUAUGGGUCGUAAACUUCUUUUAUAUAAGAAUAAAGUGCAGUAUGUAUACUGUUUUGUAUGUAUUAUAUGAAUAAGGAUCGGCUAACUCCGUGCCAGUAGCCGCGGUAAUCUGAGCGGGCUGGCAAGGC
This 217-nucleotide ribosomal RNA is filed under the name uncultured bacterium. Its description in RNAcentral is "partial 16S ribosomal RNA". It matches the Rfam family "Bacterial small subunit ribosomal RNA", at positions 328 to 539 of the family's 1533-position model. The record is from RNAcentral.